RNAcentral lists this ribosomal RNA (393 nucleotides) under uncultured bacterium. Its description in RNAcentral is "partial 16S ribosomal RNA". It matches the Rfam family "Bacterial small subunit ribosomal RNA", at positions 523 to 918 of the family's 1533-position model. The record is from RNAcentral.
AUACGGAGGAUCCGAGCGUUAUCCGGAUUUAUUGGGUUUAAAGGGUGCGCAGGCGGGAGAUUAAGUCGGCGGUGAAAUUUUGCAGCUUAACUGUAAAAGUGCCUUCGAAACUGGUUUCCUUGAGUGUAGAUGAAGUAGGCGGAAUUUGUGGUGUAGCGGUGAAAUGCAUAGAUAUCACGAGGAACUCCGAUUGCGCAGGCAGCUUACUAAACUACUACUGACGCUCAGGCACGAAGGCGUGGGGAUCAAACAGGAUUAGAUACCCUGGUAGUCCACGCAGUAAACGAUGAUUACUAGCUGUUUGCGAUACAAUGUAAGCGGCUGAGCGAAAGCGUUAAGUAAUCCACCUGGGGAGUACGUUCGCAAGAAUGAAACUCAAAUGAAUUGACGGGG